ACGAACUUUCAUUUCACCUUUAUUAUUUAUGGGGGCAGUAAACAAAUAAUUAAAUGAUCAACUAAUAAGCAUUACAUUAAGUAGAGUAUGUUCCAAGAUCUUGACUGUAAUAAAAAAAAUAUCCACAUUAUUCUCAAGUUUUCAGUUUUCUAAUGUUUGGCCCACAUCCACAUGACAUUAAAAUUUUGUAAGGGACCAAUGUUAUUGAUGUGAUACAGAUCUUACAAGAUCUUCCCACACUCGUUCAACAAUAAUUCAUUAAAAAAAAAAAGAACAUUUUAAUGGUCGCAUAUGUGGCUUCACCUUUUUGCCUUUGGUCUUCGUCAUUGAUUAUUUAUAUUGCAUAGUUUUGAUUUUGGUCAAACUGAACAUUUGUUCACAUAUAUUGUAAUUUUAUUUUAUUGCUUGGUUAAAGAAACAAAUAACGAAUAACUUUUUUUUUUUCUUUUCUUGCUUACUGCUUCCAAAAGAGAGAGAAAGAAGAUACAAUGAAUGCUUUAAUUUAGCGUCUGCUACACUGUUUAGCAUGAUUUAUUGACUUAUCUAAUAGAUAUAAAUACUUAUUUAAUUGCA
Molecule: long non-coding RNA, 573 nt
Filed under: Citrus x clementina
Lineage: Eukaryota; Viridiplantae; Streptophyta; Magnoliopsida; Sapindales; Rutaceae
Description: Citrus clementina (C. clementina) long non-coding RNA (CCLE_LNC001635)
Source: RNAcentral